CAGCAGUAGCCGCGGGAAUACGAAGGGUGCAAGCGUUACUCGGAAUUACUGGGCGUAAAGCGUGCGUAGGUGGUGGUUUAAGUCCGUUGUGAAAGCCCUGGGCUCAACCUGGGAAUUGCAGUGGAUACUGGGUCACUAGAGUGUGGUAGAGGAUAGUGGAAUUUCCGGUGUAGCAGUGAAAUGCGUAGAGAUCGGAAGGAACAUCUGUGGCGAAGGCGACUAUCUGGGCCAACACUGACACUGAGGCACGAAAGCGUGGGGAGCAAACAGGAUUAGAUACCCGAGUAGUCCCUGUCUCUUAUAC
RNAcentral lists this ribosomal RNA (304 nucleotides) under uncultured bacterium. Its description in RNAcentral is "partial 16S ribosomal RNA". It matches the Rfam family "Bacterial small subunit ribosomal RNA", at positions 506 to 807 of the family's 1533-position model. The record is from RNAcentral.